AAAGUAUUGUUCCUGGGUGUGUCUGUGAGGGUGUUGCCAAAGGAAAUUAAUAGUUGAGUCUGCACUGGGAGAGGCUGACCCACCCUUAAUCUGGGUGGGCACCAUCUAAUCAGUUGCCAACUCAACUAGGAUAAAAGCAGGCAGAGGAAUGUGGAAGGACUUGACGGGUUAAGUCUUCCAUCCUUCAUCUUUCUCCCAUGCCAGAUGCUUCUUGCCCUCAAACAUCAGGCUCCAAGUUCUUCAGCUUUUGGACUCUUGGGCUUACAGCAGUGGUUUGCCAGGAGCUCUCGGACCUUUGACCGCAAAUGGAAGGCUGCACUGUCGGCUUCCCUACUUUUGAGGUUUUGGGACUCCGACUAUCUUCGUUGCUCCUCAGCUUGCAGACGGCCUAAUGUGAGACUUCACCUUUCGAUUGUUUUUGGUCCACCUUCUGUUAGACUUUACCAACUCCUGGCCCCCUCUAAUGUUGAAUGAAACUCUGCAGCUGGAGAAAGUCAAUUUUCACUUCUAAAAACCCUGGCUGGUAAUAUCAUCAGGAAGACGGGUGCUUCACCAUGCUUCUGCCUGUACCAGUGUACAGAAUAUAAAGCCUUGGAGGAACUGCAGUUGAUGACAGCAUCUUCCCCUUCUCGGAGGAUCACGGCUUGAGGACUCUGCACUGGUUGUUGGCUUCUCACCCCUGAUCAGAAAGACAAUCGAAUGAGAUGCUCAAUCUCGUGAAGGGAAGGGUGAUUUUCUCUCUUCCUUCCUUAUUUAAAACAUUAAGCAUCACCACAUAAUUACGGUACAUUUUCCUCACUUCUUAGGUCUGGUUCUUAAAAGGGCCCUUCCCAAGACAGAAAGCUAUUGUCAUUAAGAUGCUGUCAUAUCACAACCUCUCCCAGACUGAAUCGUGUACUCACAGGUCAACUGCCACAACAAGGUGCCUGAAAGCACUUUCAGGAGAGUCUCCAUCCUUGGCCUGCCAGAAUAUCCAGUCAGCUUCUGAAUGGGCUUCCUUAACAGGAGUUGCUUUGAACUCAGAAUGAGGCCUGUUGCAAUUGCUUCCAGGAUAUUGCAACUUUGGGGGCAACCAAUCAGAGACACAUCACAACAGUUUAACUGCAGAGAACUAAAUGCAUCUACCUAGAAUACUUUUUAAACAGCUCUCCCCUGUGGCCAGACUGAGGAAUGUUGAUUAAACUGUGGAUUUUGGCUUUUCUUGAGUAAGUUUUCAUACAGGAUAGGUUUUUUUCUUGCUAUAAGAAGGGCCUAUCAAUAUACUGUGUUACAGAAAGAAUUACUCCAGAAUUAAGAGAAAAAAGAAGUAUCAAGGGAAAAUGUAUUAUAUGUAUUUUACUACAUAUAUAUAUUUUAUAUACAUGCCCACACAUGGAUAUAAUAUAUAAGUAUGUGAACUCAUAGUAAUCUUUCAAACAGUGACAUUUCAUUAUAUUAUUUACUUGUGCAGAUUUCUUUCACUGCUCAUCAUUGUCUUCAAGAUAAUGUAAUGUACAAACAUCUUAUAAUGGCUUUUAAUUAUUUUCACAAAGUGGUUUCUGCUUAUUGCUUUAGUUUUAUAUUUACUGACAUACAUUUUGAGUUGUAUGCUCUGGCCAUCCUGAAUUAGUUUAAUGUCAUUCUCUUAACCUAAAUAUUGACUUCAUGUCUUUGUACAUUCUAUUUAUCUUUUUCUGUAAUACCCUGUCUCUGACUCCAUUUUUGGCUAACUGUUUUACAGAUCUUAACCUAGAUACUACUUCCCGUAGGCAGCUUUCCCUUACAUUUAAGUUUCCAAAUUAAAUGCCACUGUUAGGUGGUUAUAUUCUACGCUUCUCCUAUGAUAGCUUUUAUUAUACUAUAUUGUAAUACACUCUGCAAUAUUACAUGCUCCCUGAAGGCAGAAACAAUGCCUUAUUCUUCUCAUUUGCAUCUAUUGUUUUCAAGUCUAAGACACAUAUUAGGUAUCAAAUGAAUAACCUUAUUAAGUGAAAUCUCAAGUAAAUAGAAAACAUAUUUGGUAACCUCACAAAUAUUAUGGUUACUCAUUUAUAAAACUGAGAAUUAAGGUACAACUGCUUUGCAGUGGUGGUUUGAACAUUUUAUGACAUACAUAAUUUUAAUUAUAGCAUAAUUCUGGCUUUUAGUCCUCAGGUUCAUUGUGUUCUGUGUCACCUUGUACAUGCUGUUUCUAUCUUUAAGAUCACUUUUACUACCUUCUCUGUCUUUCAACUUGAUUGACUCCUACUAAAUCUUUAGGUCUCAGCAUAGGCAAGACAUACUACAGGCUGCCCCUGACUCACCUCUAAGGCUAAGAUGGGGGUGGGACUUUCCAUAUGCCUUCAUACCUCCCUUUGCUUUCCCAAGGUUGGCCUCAUUUCACUUUACUCUGUCUGAUUAGCUGCCUACAUAACUAACUAGACUACAAUUUAGUCAAAGAAGAUAUGUAUUUUUCCAUAGCUCUUUUUUUCCCAGCAUGUAACAUUUAUGCAGAACUCAGCAGGCAACCAGUUAACAAUUGCUAAUUGAUAAAAUGAAUAAAACUUGAGACCGAUGUUAGCUGGAAAUCAUUGCCCUUGCAUUACAGAUGAAGGUCCUGAUAUAAAAUGUUAAGAAGUUGAUUCACUUGCUCAAGAAGACACAACACACUUAUGGCUAGAACAAUGCUAGAAAGUAUGUUUUCCCAAUGCUGUUUCCCAAAUAUAUUAGAUAAGAAAAGAACGUAAAUAGAUAACUGUGGGAAUGAAUGAAAUGUGAAAGUUGAAGCAGUCUGAAGAGCUUGAACAAAAAGACAGGGAUGAGAUUGAAUGUAGUAUUCCUUUUUCUGGUAUGAUUCUACGUUGCUUUAGAAGGAUAAAGACAGCAUUAAUAUAUUCCCUCCCCAUUAUGCAAGACAUGAAAUGGGGUAAAUGUAACAGCAGUUAGAGUGAAAAAUGUCCAUUGUAACAGAACUUUAUAAUGGGUUUCAGUAAUUUAUAAAUCAUGUUAAAUAUAUCUGAAAAGAAGAAAAGCUGAUUUAUUGUCUUAAGGUAUUUGAAAUAGUUUUGUUAAGAGCAGGGAUAUAUAGUAACUGGACUGAUUAUUCAGCUGAAUUUCCACAUUUUUUGAAACUGAAAUGAAAUGAUUCAUCGUAGCUACAUUUCUCUACACCCUGCUAGAAGACAGCAACAACUCUCGCGUGUCUGCCCUUUUGCUGGGAUCUGUGGCUACAGCUUUGAAUUUGGGAACAGGCUCUGGAUGCCUGUGAGCAAAGAGUAUGCACAGCAGACUCUCUGCUCAGAGUAGCUGAGGCUCUAGAGUAGGAGCCCGAGAUGUGCAUGGAAUACCCUAAGUAUGAAGAGUGAUGCUUAAUAUUCCUUCCUGCUUUUCAUUCUCAUUUACGUGCAUUACGAAAAGGAUCUUGGAAUUUUUCCUGCCUAUACCAAUGUAAGCCAUAAAAAGAACAGAAAAAAUACUGCAUGUGAUAUUGGUGCUCCUGGAUAUGGAGGGAUAAUAAAUCUAAUUCACACUGAGUUAGCUUUACAUCCAUGUUCAGGAAUAUAGAAUUAAAUAUGAGAGAAUUGAUCAACCUACAGAUUUUACCUUAUAGUUAAACCAACCCCACAAGGAUCCCUAGAUGAACAAAGCUAAGCCAACCUAUAUAUCACCCCUAUUCUGAUAAAAAAUGUCUUCAGCAUUCCUGAAAUCACUGUUCCUGAAGUCACUGUUCAGAUUAUGCCAUAAGUAAUGGGAUUUACAGAGGCUUCCGCAUGCUUCUUGGGAAGUAUCCUGAAUUUCUGUAUCUUCUCUCUGUAAAGAUCUUCAGCUUCAGAAAAUCAGCCUGUGAGGAACAAGCUCUAAUCAUUUAUCUACAAAUACAAUAUACAUAUAAAACCAUAAUUUCAGCUUUUAAUUCUCUAUGAGUGAUAAUCUCACUCUUCUAUAGGUCAAUGAUGAAGACAUGUAUGAUAAGAAUUUUAAAGAUUGCUAGCUGUUCAAAAGCAUGACUUGUUAAUAGCUUCUGUAGGAAGGGCCCAUACUUGGUGGUUUGGGGCAUGAGUGACCAUGAACUCUCUUUUCUCACAAAGUUAGUGAUACUGAACAAAUCCCUGAACUCCCACAGCCUGUUUUCUCUACUAAAAUAUGGAUUAUUCUAAUAGUUGUCUUAAAUAAUUAUUAGAAGAAUUAAUGUAAUACAUGCAAAACAGGUGGAAUAAUAGAAGUUCAACAUAAUCUAGACAUUAUUACCAUUACACAACAGUGUGCUCUAAGUGAUAAAAUUCUUUCUCAUGGAGCUACAAGUAACAAUUCUGAUACCACUAUACAUGUUUAAUGGAAUUGGACUAUGAUGUAAAUGAAUAGUGGGUGGUAAUGACAAAAAUUCUUUGCUUGACCAAACUUUAGUCAGGCUUUUGAAGUUUCUCCUAAGCUCAUCUGUACAUUUUCUUGUAAAAUGUAGUUUUAACAAGAAUCCUUCUAAGUCAGUUUAGCAAGAACCACACCCUCCCCUGCUGCCCUCGUCAUCCUCCGCUUGAUAUCUGAUUACACUCCAUAUCCAACUGGGCUCCUCAUCCUCUAUCAUCCCCCAGGGGAUUGAUGUCUGAUCACCCUGACCUGUCUUCUGCAAGGAUCCUGUUUGGCUGGUCUAGCCAGACUAUCCCUUGGUUCUAAUGUUUCCUCUUAGUAAUUUCCUAUCCACUGACCCCUAAUCUGCCCCUUGGCUAGAAAUCUCCACUUGUCUAUGCUGUAUUCGGAGUUGAAUCCAAUUCUUCUCCCUCACUGCAAAAUCCUGUUGCAGUGGUCUCUGUACCUAUCAUGAUGGUCCUAAAUAAAUUCUGCCUCACCGUGUUUUAACAAGUAUUACUGAAUAACUUUUUGUUAACAGUGAGAGCCAGGCUGUGCACCCCUGUAGUGGGAAUUUAUGGAUAAGUAAGGGGAGGAGGCUAGUGUGAUCCACGUGGUAAUGAUUUAGCAUUGGAGACAUUGCUAAGAACGAAUGUUUAACUUAAUAUAGAUACAGAUGGUUAUGCUACAUAUAGAAAUAUUUAUAGAUAUGCAGAUAUACAUAAGUUAGUAUUCACACAUGCAAUUCUUUGCUCAGAAAUGCCUGUACACUGAGAAAAACUAAAAGAAAAGACAUCUCAGGAAAUGUUCAUCACUGGAAGAACCUGCAGUAGGACCUUGGUUUUCCCAUUCCAAACACACAUCCUUGCCCCCUAGUAUACAAGGGAGACAGGGCACCCGCAUUCCAGAAGCUAGCAGAAACAAAGCAUCACUAGAGAUUUAUGCUUUAGCUAAAUCAGCAACCUCUUUCUGAAAGUAGAAAAGGAGAGUGGUUAGACUCUUAAACACUCUAAAACUCAGGGAACUUUCUUAACUUAUUUGUAAGGUUUUGUCAUGUAUCAGUCUUUCUUUAGGCUCAACUUGCCUCACCUACUUCAAAG
Molecule: long non-coding RNA, 5402 nt
Filed under: Homo sapiens (human)
Lineage: Eukaryota; Metazoa; Chordata; Mammalia; Primates; Hominidae
Description: HSALNT0208071
Source: RNAcentral